UACCUGUGGCGUGAUGCUUCUGUUAAGCGU
This 30-nucleotide non-coding RNA is filed under the name Rattus norvegicus (Norway rat). Lineage: Eukaryota; Metazoa; Chordata; Mammalia; Rodentia; Muridae. The record is from RNAcentral.